AACUGGGUUCGGAAUCACGACAGAUUUCUGAAUCGCGAAGUUUCUAAUAUUUGAUUUUCCAUUCUUCCGUGGGUUUUCUCCCCAUUCACGACAUAGAAAGGUCUAGCCGUGAUAGGAGCUAUAUAACGAUCUACUUCCCAAAGUUCGGGGGGAUAGGAAUUUAGGAAUACCCAAGGAAAAGGGAUACAACAUGACAAAAAUGGACGUGACCACAGUUGUUACCUCGAUCCUGGAGGCUUUUGGGAAUGGGCGGGAUUUCUUCAAUCGCAUACACAAAAAGAAGGAUCUUAAAAGAUCUGGAACCGAUAAAUCCAAGCGGGAUCUAAAAACCCACGGCUCGCGAAAGAAAAAGCGAAGAAAUACAAAUGAUGCGGCAGUUCCGGUUCGCAGCGAAGAUAUGGAUGACUUGCGAAUUCAGGCAUCACUGGAACGGGGUCCCGCUGAAAUCAAGAAGGAAUAUGAUACCAGCGUCCAGCGCUUAGGGGAACGCUUCAAAAAGGGAGACGAACUUGCUCAAGGAUCCCUUGCCCAUACAUUAUUAAUAUUGAAUGCCGGCUUGAUGAAACUAAUAGCAUCUUGUUUGUCCAGUGAUGGGCAGGGAUACAACUGUGCUGGAACUGUUGAUCGACGGUCUCUACUCAUACUCUCCGAUUCUGCGGCGGCAGAUGCAAUAACCGCUCUUGAUGAACUCCGACAGCGCCUGAUAAACGCGUCCACCCCAGCGCCUAAAUCAGCAAUAAUACCCGCAGGGCAGAAAGGGAGACAACGCAGCAGAUCGUUGUCACGACAGAGGCCAAAGACGGAAUCAGGAAAGAAUAGUAAAGCCGAAGACAGAAAUCAAGCCCCAAGCGCCACGACAACAAUGGGACAGCGCAAAAAGAACACGGCAGGGCCAUCACCGAAACCAGCGUCGAAUAUGGCAACCAGCGGCCGAGAGUUCACGGGAAUGUGGAUUCGGUCGAGAAAAGGGUCCUCCAUAUCGCUGGCAACAACGGCAGUGACAAGCCAGCAUCCAGCACAGCAAGCCCCGAAGAAGUUGCCAAAUAUGCUAAAGCAAUGCGACAUGGAGCAUAACCAGGGUCACCCGGCUUUUGCCCAUCUCCAGCAAUACGGGAGAUCGCCAAACAACGAAGCAGACUUCCAACACAGCGGGCGGGAACACCGAGGGCAGCAACUUUCGUCCAUUCGCAGAGAGGCACUAAACAAUGAUAGGACGCCAGUAGCAGCACCUUCAAUUACAAGAGUUCUUCGAAAGGACUUGCCGCCCCUUUCCCCGCUUGUGCCCCUAUCACAAAAUCUCCAACCGCCACGUGGGAGAACUGGAGCUGGAGGAGGUCCGGGAGCCGCUUCCUCGAUAUCUGUGUCAUCUAGUAGCACAAAGCUGGGUGAGAUUCCGAGCCGGGGCCGGUUUACACAGGCCUCAUCUCUGAAUCCCCUUCCACCUCCACCACCACAGAUUUCCCGGCCGACAGGACCGGUUCUGGAAGUCGGCUAUCAACGGCCGAGAGUUGCGUUCAAUGCUGGGUUGGAGUACUGGAGAAAUUUGGCUGCAGGGGCGAACGAUGGAAAAAAGUCCAUGUUCGAAGAGGGU
Molecule: small RNA, 1591 nt
Filed under: Histoplasma capsulatum var. duboisii H88
Lineage: Eukaryota; Fungi; Ascomycota; Eurotiomycetes; Onygenales; Ajellomycetaceae
Description: Histoplasma capsulatum H88 hypothetical RNA
Source: RNAcentral